GUAGCGCAGCUUGGUAGCGCGUCUGCUUUGGGAGCAGGAUGUCGCAGGUUCAAAUCCUGUCGAGAGUACCA
This 71-nucleotide transfer RNA is filed under the name Kamptonema sp. FACHB-857. RNAcentral describes it as "Nostoc sp. FACHB-857 tRNA-Pro". It matches the Rfam family "tRNA". From Rfam's summary of the family: Transfer RNA (tRNA) molecules are approximately 80 nucleotides in length. RNAcentral also lists the same sequence under 1 other name. The record is from RNAcentral. Lineage: Bacteria; Bacillati; Cyanobacteriota; Cyanophyceae; Oscillatoriales; Microcoleaceae.